Molecule: ribosomal RNA, 435 nt
Filed under: uncultured bacterium
Lineage: Bacteria
Description: bacterial SSU rRNA
Rfam family: Bacterial small subunit ribosomal RNA
Source: RNAcentral
GGGGAAUCUUGCGCAAUGGCCGAAAGGCUGACGCAGCGACGCCGCGUGGGGGAGGAAGGGCUUCGGCUCGUAAACCCCUGUUGCCCGGGGCGAACAGCGUGUUUCGACACGCCUGACGGUACCGGGUGAGGAAGCACCGGCUAACUCCGUGCCAGCAGCCGCGGUAAUACGGAGGGUGCGAGCGUUGUCCGGAAUCACUGGGCGUAAAGGGCGCGUAGGUGGCUUUUCAAGCGCGCGGUGAAAGCCCGGGGCUCAACCCCGGGUCGGCCGUGCGGACUGGGAGGCUCGAGCACUGUAGGGGCGGGUGGAAUUCCGGGUGUAGCGGUGGAAUGCGUAGAGAUCCGGAAGAACACCGGUGGCGAAGGCGGCCCGCUGGGCAGGAAGACCUCGUAAGAGGUCGGCUGACACUGAGGCGCGACAGCGUGGGGAGCAAAC